UAUGUUGGCCUCGGGGCCUCCUGGACCCGCCAAGGGCUGCGGCCUCACAGGGCGACUGUGCGUUCAUCCCAGUCCUGCCAGCUCCCCACCCUCAUCCGUCAUCUCCCACUCAGGCUCCGGCGCCGCGGGAAUCUGCCGCCCGGCGGGUCGCUCUGCAAGCAUCGCGCCCGCGGGAAGGGCCGCAGAGAGCCGCAGUGCCUUCCGGACACAGAAGCCCGACCUUCCCUUGCUCAUUCUCAGGCGGCCUCCCCAGAGAGGGCAACCUUCAAAGUUAAGAAGGCACAGUCCCAGGACUGACCCCCCCAACCCCCACCCUGGGCUGAAGACCUCCUCUCGCUUCCCAGGGGCGGCAAAGAAGGUUCGCCUGGGAUUGAGAGGAGAGGACGACAUGGGUCGGGGACAGGGCAGGGAGCAGUGCCCUGGAAGAAAGUAAAGCCCAGGACACAGCGGGGCUAACGCAGGCUACGACUGCUAAACCGCAAGCCCCACCAUUGUCUCUAGAUCCUCAAGGGAGAGGAUUGUUCUGCAGCCACAGAGACCAGAAUAGUGCCUGGCAUGCUGAAGGUCUCCAUGAGUGCCAUCUGCUGGGAACUGAAUCCAAAAUCCUGUGCCUACCCCAAAGUGGCCAUUUCUCCAGCAGGUCAGAAAAAGUGACUAUUUGUUCAUUUACUCAUUCAACAAAUACUUAUUGAAUACCUACUCCAACCAGAACUUCUGCUAGGGAUGAACAAGAUCCCAGGGUCCUGUCCUUACGGAGACUACAUUCUUGCAGACUGUAAUCCUGAGGGGUGACACAGCUAUUAUCACAGAGCCCUCUCUGACCAUUGGACAUAAAAUCACACUCAACCCUCUUCCUUGGCUGAAGUUUUCUUCACAGCACUUAUCAUUGCAGGGUGUAUUAUUGACUUUGUGUUUGGUUUAUUAUAUACUUUAUGUCCAUCUUCCCACACAAAAUGUAUCCUCUUUGAGAGUAAUUUGUCUACGGGGUUUACUGCUGGGUCCCUAGCACCAUGCGUAGCGCACAGUAGGUACUCAAUAAGUACAUCACAAAACAAUUCAUUCAAUGAACUCUGCAGUCAUCUAGAACUUCCUUGCAGAAAUCUCCAGUGAAUAAGUGAGAAAAACUCCGGGGGGUUAUAACAAAUUAUAACUGUCCAGGGCUUUAUAAAGCAAGGAGGUGCAUGGGCCUUCGCCUCCCAGAGCCCUGAUUUCCUCCUUCUAAAAUAGGGAUAAUAAUACCUCGCCCCACUGCCCGGGGCAGAAUUCCAAAUACGGUACCUUAUCUGUCACCCCAGGCUGGCGACUCUGGCAGGAAAGCACAUCUCAGAAGGGUCUUGGCAUUCUCCCUCCACUCUCGCUUGGACAUGCUGCCUUUUCAGUUGUCAUACCGCCAUUGCUGUGGGAAAAAAAGAGGUCUGGGGACACAGGAACCUGGAGAGAGGAUUGUGCACUUCGUUCCUAGGUGAAGAACAAAUCCCCUUUGCUCCCCACCACCAGCCCAUUCUGCAGCUUCUCCCAGGGCUUCUCCCAAUUUUCCCCAAGCUCCCAUUUUUCUAAUGCCUCAGGGACCUCCAGCCUUCCAGCAUCUAAGCUGAUGGGGAUUCUGGUCCAAUGGAGUGGGAUGGGCCAUGAGACUCAUUAGCAUAAACGAAUCAGGAAAUUUCUCAUAGUUCAGAGGUCCUCAGAACUCUAAUUAGACUAUGAAGACUAAUAGUAAUUGAACUUCCUAAAAAUAACAACUUCUAAAAUAUAUAAUAGUGUUGUAAUUCAUUGAACAUCUCAGUUCCAGUCAGUGUGUGAGGCAAUUUACAAAUAUCCAAUCCUGACAACAACCCAGAAAGGCAGAUGUUCUAAUUCCCAUUUUAUAGAUGAAAAAGUCAAAACCCAGGGAGAUGAAUGAUUGGGUUGGAGGUCAUGUAGCUACUAAGUGAUGAAGUCCCAGGAUUUAAACCAAGGUCUGUCUGCCUUCAAAGCUCAUGCUCCUUUGCCACAUGAAAACAUGGGAUGAGAGUGGGGGUGCCAGUUAUAUGCACUAGGACACCUAUCCCAGCAUCACUCCGAAGAAAUUGGGAGCAUCCUAAGAAAUACAAAAAUAGGGGAAUAGUUAUAUGAAUUAUAGUGAGUAUAGCCAGUAGAAUAUUUUACAAUUAUUGAAAAUAAUACAAACAAUGUAAUGACAUAGAAAAGUACUUAAUGACAAAUGGAAAAUCUAGGCUAUAAAAUGUAUGUCCAUAGAGACUACAAUUCAUAAAUAAACAUGAAGUGUAAAGAUGCA
This is a long non-coding RNA of Manis pentadactyla (Chinese pangolin), 2275 nucleotides long. RefSeq lists it as uncharacterized. Lineage: Eukaryota; Metazoa; Chordata; Mammalia; Pholidota; Manidae. The transcript has 2 exons. The record is from RefSeq and is a predicted model, not a curated record.